Molecule: long non-coding RNA, 1429 nt
Organism: Canis lupus familiaris (dog)
Lineage: Eukaryota; Metazoa; Chordata; Mammalia; Carnivora; Canidae
Exons: 7
Source: RefSeq, a predicted model, not a curated record
UUUGAACACCUACCCACCAGGCACUGUGCCAAGUACUUUGUUUCUAAUUGUUACAAUUUCUCCAGAAGGUAUUAUUAGCUCCAUGUUACAAAAGUGAAAAUGAGCCCCAGAGAGGCUAAAUAACUUUCUUAAGGCUCACAGCUAGGAAAAGGCUUCCCUUCUCAGCUCCAAAAUCCAUUAAUGACUGCUCAUUACCUAGAGUGGCUGUUUGUAUCCCUAUUUCAAAGAACACGGUGGUGGUGGGGGGGUGCCACAGAGGGACUUCAGGAGCCACCUCAAGGGCAAGAUCAUGUGGCAGGUUCCAGGGUUCCUCCCCGCAGAGCACAUUUUGAUGAAGCUUCUCUGAUUUCCUCUAUUUUCGAUACCAGUCAUCCAAGAUGCAUAGAUCCUUGAAUUGGUGCUAUGCUCUCCCCACUGUAUCCUAUUAGCUGCACCAUAGCAGUGUAAUUUCCCUGACCCAGCCCUAGAAAUCAGUCACUUCUCCAAGGAUCCUGAGUCCUUCUUCAUGAUGUAUUAAUAUGCUUGAUAUGGUGACUCAGCAGCUGGUAGGAAGUUGACGCUCUCAGAGGUUAUCAGUGGAUACUUCCACCAUCACUCAGCAGUGAUAAAGGGAAUUUAUACUCUGAGAUCUUUUGAGAGAAAGAUAUUUGCAUUGUUUGGCCUAUCAUAGAAAUUUAUCAAGAAUGCGUUGACCAAGUGGAGACUUAGUUUGUUCUUGACUUUGUUCUCCAUCACAAGAAGAACAACUAACAACUAUUCAAGAUUAAGAUGCCACUGAAAGAAUCCUAGAACAUGGUGAUGAGGCUCAAGCCCUCCUUGAACCACAGAGACCAAGACAGACUGCAUUAGAAAGGACUGCUGCUUUCCUGUCCGCCAUGUGACUUACAAGAUUAGAGGCAAGAUUACAUGCCUUCCUUAAAGUCCCUUCCAUCAGGAUUCUAUGAAUUUUGCUCAUGCUGGGAACAUUCUAAUGAAUCUUCCACAUUGAAGACAAGAUGGAAAAUACUCUCAGAGACUGAAUCUUUCUAGAAAACUUCAUCAGUGUUGAGAUUAACACUACAGGAAAUCUUGUAACAGACCUAUAAAGGCCACAUCUUGUCUUUUAAGAGGGAUAACAGGCUUUGACCUGAUGGCACAGGAUGAAGAUAAUUUAUUUUACUUUUAUAUACAUAAAAUUGCUUAUUUAUAUGAACAAUUGCCUUUGAUCUAUUACAACAGCUUAUGCCUUCCUGAAUUCAACCCUAGGACAUCCUCUUUCCCAAAGAUUCUGAAGAGGGGGGAAUUCCCACAAGGGCACACCUUUGCACUGGGCAGCCUGCAUGCCUUGCCUCAGGAACAGAAGGGACAGCCCCCUCUUUGUCCAAAAUGCUUAUUCAGGAGUAACUGGAUAUUAAACAGUUAGAUGGAAAAUGUGUUGCAGAGUUUCCAA